Long non-coding RNA from Sitophilus oryzae (rice weevil), 838 nucleotides. RefSeq lists it as uncharacterized. NCBI's taxonomy places the organism in Eukaryota, Metazoa, Arthropoda, Insecta, Coleoptera, Curculionidae. The record is from RefSeq and is a predicted model, not a curated record. The transcript has 4 exons.
GAAGCAAACACACCACUCAAUCUAUGAUGGAAUUCUUAAUUAAGGAGAAGGACAUUAUUACACUUCGCGAUUAGGUAGAAUGAGUGAAACCAUGGAGGUGCCUAGAAGGAGAGAGGUCAGAAGAACAAAUGCUACUGCAGAAAAUUUAGAUAAUUGUAAAAAUGGGACUAACAAUGCUUCUUUUGGUUCCUUGGUCUUAGUAAUGUUGAAUUGAAGAGACAGCACGCCUUAUUCCAAUAUAAAUCUUAGUGAGGACUGCUGGAGCCACAUGUGAAGCCUUGAUGCUGUUUCGGAUAUAUAUGCAGGCGUCGAUUUUAAUUCGUGAACCAUUCAGUUUCGAUUGCAGUAUUAUAAAUUCGAUUGAGAAGCUUCAGUUAAUUAUUAGACAUUUUUGUAAUACACAGAAUUUCGAGUAUCGCUAUAUACGCGGACGCGUCGCGGCCAGGAUGGACGGUAGGGUAAGGCCUUCCAGUUAUGUUGUAUUUAUCAAGAAUUCAUCAUGCUCUUUCGGUCAUGUUGUAUUUGGAUGAGUUCAUCAUAACCUAAGAAUAUACACCCUGAGCUGUGCUAGCCAAGUCGAUGUCUUUCGAGAUCUUCAUGUGGACGCGGUCGAUUCAUCCUGGCAGAUUCUGUGUAUCUGGUCGCGAGUGAUGGCAAAUUCGUUUCUCAUAUUCGGGCUGAAGUAAAAUCAUGGAAUAUAUGGAUAGGACGUGUUUUUAGCUCUUAGUUUGAAAUUAACAUUUGCUCAAAGGCCUUGAAGCGGUUCCUAAUGAGGUUUUACAACUGAUGCAGCCCUAGAACGAAGAUCUUGGAAACACUAGCCAUCAGGAUUGAGGUC